GACGAACGCUGGCGGCGUGCUUAACACAUGCAAGUCGAACGGAAAGGCCCUGCUUUUGUGGGGUGCUCGAGUGGCGAACGGGUGAGUAACACGUGAGUAACCUGCCCUUGACUUUGGGAUAACUUCAGGAAACUGGGGCUAAUACCGGAUAGGAGCUCCUGCUGCAUGGUGGGGGUUGGAAAGUUUCGGCGGUUGGGGUGGACCUCGGGGUUUAUAAGCUGGUGGGGGGGGUAGUGGCUUACCAAGGCUUUGCCGGGUAGCGGGCCUGGGAGGGUGACCGGCCAAUUGGGGACUAGGAAACGGCCCAGACCCCCCGGGGAGGAAGGAGUGGGGAAUUUUGCAAAAGGGGGGGAAGCCUGAUGCACAACCCCGGGGGGGGGGAGGGGGGCCUUGGGGUUGAAAACCGCUUUCCCCUGGGACGAAGGGGGGGUGACGGUAAGGGGUAAAGAAGCACCGGCAAACUACGU
RNAcentral lists this ribosomal RNA (467 nucleotides) under uncultured bacterium. RNAcentral describes it as "partial 16S ribosomal RNA". It matches the Rfam family "Bacterial small subunit ribosomal RNA", at positions 28 to 506 of the family's 1533-position model. The record is from RNAcentral.